GUGUCAGCAGCCGCGGUAAGACAGAGGUGGCUAGCGUUGUUCGGAUUUAUUGGGCGUAAAGCGCACGCAGGCGGUUUGGUAAGUCAGAGGUGAAAGCCCACGGCUUAACCGUGGCAUUGCCUUUGAUACUGCCUUUCUUGAGUAGAGUAGGGGGAAGCGGAAUUCCGAGUGUAGAGGUGAAAUUCGUAGAUAUUCGGAGGAACACCGGUGGCGAAGGCGGCUUCCUGGACUCUAACUGACGCUCAUGUGCGAAAGCGUGGGGAGCAAACAGGAUUAGAUACCCCCGUAGUCC
Molecule: ribosomal RNA, 292 nt
Filed under: uncultured bacterium
Lineage: Bacteria
Description: partial 16S ribosomal RNA
Rfam family: Bacterial small subunit ribosomal RNA
Source: RNAcentral